This 612-nucleotide long non-coding RNA is filed under the name Crocodylus porosus (Australian saltwater crocodile). RNAcentral's name for it is "lncRNA (ENSCPRG00005009080.1)". The record is from RNAcentral. Lineage: Eukaryota; Metazoa; Chordata; Crocodylia; Crocodylidae.
UCUCCAAGGAAAGCUGUCUUCUUGGCUCUGAAAAUUGUUAUGUAUGGCAACUCUGGUCUGCGAUGAGGCUACACAAGCCAAACUUCCUGCACCCCCUUCAGGGACAGACGGAGGCAUCUGUGAUCCCAUCUCUACAACAAUGAAAAUUUGCUUCAGCCAUCACAAUAAAUCCAGAUGGGCAGUGCCUCUCUGUUUCCUAAGGGCUGUAAGAACGAUCUUGGAUCCAGGUAUGCCUGUGAUGCCAGUGAACCGUGAAAGCUGUUGGUGAGGAGUGAGAAGAGCCACUCAGUCUUAAGAGAAGAUGCCAUUUAAGUUCUCGAUGCUUGCUCAAAUCAUCUGGUCUGGAUGGAGCCUAGCUCAGCUUGCUCUCAACCCAGGCUCUGGGAAGGAAAAGGCUGUUCACCUUCUGUAUCAGAUGUAACAAGAGACCUUGAUUUAUGGAUCAUCCUCAUGCUGAUGAUUCAACAGCCCCAGCCACUGGAAGUAGGCUGAAAAUACCUUUGGCAUUAAAUUUGAUCUGCCUCCUGUUCUGCUGGAAUCUUAAAGACUGACUGUUUCUCAGUUGCUUAAUGAAGCCACUGCUCUGGGCCCAUUUAGAUACCUCUCCGGGAG